Molecule: long non-coding RNA, 845 nt
Filed under: Vigna radiata
Lineage: Eukaryota; Viridiplantae; Streptophyta; Magnoliopsida; Fabales; Fabaceae
Description: long non-coding RNA (VRAD_LNC012280)
Source: RNAcentral
UCCUUAAGAAAAUGUCUUCAUCCGGGACAUCUGGAGGUUUCAUUAAAGAGCAUAAUGUGUAGAACUCCUCCAAAUGUUUAUGUGGGCAUUCACCUACAAAACCAUGAAACUUAGGCAACAAAUGUAUCAGUCCAGUGUUGAAAACACAACGAAUAUCCUCCUCAUCAAGUGGAAACGGCUCCCUAGGAGAACUCUCAUGAGAUGGAGGAGGAACCGUACUGUUAUCAACAUAAAAGUCAGCAGAAUAUGCAUGAGAAGCAAUAUCAGAGUUAACUGCCGAAGGAGAAUCAAAGUCAUGGACAUAGGCAGAAGAAACAGUAUCCACAUAACCAAAAUAGGUAGACAUGUAGAAAGAGGGGGGAAAAGAAGAAUGCAAUGAAAAUAUGCAACUAAAGCUACCCAAAUGCAACACACAGUGACGAACACACAAAACAGAACAUCACACUCACACACAAGACAAGAUAACACACACUAACACAACAAAAGACCUAAAACCGAAUUGUUGGUCCCCGGCAACGGCGCCAAAAUUUGAUGGGUUGUCGCAGCCCAUACAAAUUUGAUGUGCAUAAAAGAAUGCAGUAUAGACUAGGAAGUGACUCCUAGGUCGUCUCUCAAGGACCAAAUGUGGUUCAAGAAUCAAGUCAGAUACGAAGUGGGGGGGUUUGUGAAGAGUUUGUGUGAAUGCGGAUGAAUAAAAUCAACACACGGAUGCAAACAAAAAUGUAAAACUGAAGUGCAGACAGAAACAUAAAAACGAAAUCAAAUACAGAAUAAAAACGAUCGGUCAUUAACUCAAUUACUCCCCGAUUAAAGACAAGUACACACUAAUUUGUGAAGAGUUUGUG